ACAUCCAGAGAAUUUGGCAGAGAUGCCUUAGUGCCUUCGGGAACUCUGAGACAGGUGCUGCAUGGCUGUCGUCAGCUCGUGUUGUGAAAUGUUGGGUUAAGUCCCGNAACGAGCGCAACCCUUAUCCUUUGUUGCCAGCACGUAAUGGUGGGAACUCAAAGGAGACUGCCGGUGAUAAACCGGAGGAAGGUGGGGAUGACGUCAAGUCAUCAUGGCCCUUACGAGUAGGGCUACACACGUGCUACAAUGGCGCAUACAAAGAGAAGCGACCUCGCGAGAGCAAGCGGACCUCAUAAAGUGCGUCGUAGUCCGGAUUGGAGUCUGCAACUCGACUCCAUGAAGUCGGAAUCGCUAGUAAUCGUAAAUCAGAAUGUUACGGUGAAUACGUUCCCGGGCCUUGUACACACCGCCCGUCACACCAUGGGAGUGGGUUGCAAAAGAAGUAGAUAGCUUAACCUUCGGGAGGGCGUUUACCACUUUGUGAUUCAUGACUGGGGUGAAGUCGUAACAAGGUAAGCGUAGCGAG
RNAcentral lists this ribosomal RNA (526 nucleotides) under uncultured bacterium. RNAcentral describes it as "bacterial SSU rRNA". It matches the Rfam family "Bacterial small subunit ribosomal RNA", at positions 984 to 1509 of the family's 1533-position model. The record is from RNAcentral.